UACGUAGGUGGCAAGCGUUGUCCGGAAUCACUGGGCGUAAAGCGCGCGCAGGCGGCGGUCUACGUCUGGGGUGAAAGCUCGGAGCUCAACUCCGGGACUGCCUUGGAUACGGGAUCGCUUGAGGAUUGGAGAGGCAAGGGGAAUUCCACGUGUAGCGGCGAAAUGCGUAGAUAUGUGGAGGAACACCUGUGGCGAAGGCGCCUUGCUGGCCAAUUUCUGACGCUGAGGCGCGAAAGCGUGGGGAGCAAACAGG
RNAcentral lists this ribosomal RNA (253 nucleotides) under uncultured bacterium. Its description in RNAcentral is "partial 16S ribosomal RNA". It matches the Rfam family "Bacterial small subunit ribosomal RNA", at positions 524 to 776 of the family's 1533-position model. The record is from RNAcentral.